CCUUGUUCGACGGACCCGCCCGCACCUAUUUUUUUCAAAACAGAUUUUUUUUUAUUUUAUUAUUUUCCCGCUUCCCGCAUCCGGAAAUGAAAUCAUGUCCAUUUCCCGCACCGUUUUUUUUUGUAAAUAUUAUAUAAAAGAUCUCAACAUUUGUUUUUUAAAAUCACAGUCUAGCCUUUCUAUAACGAUUUUAAACCUAUCAGCACCCCACAACACUGUAAAUAUCUGCGAGAAUAUUUGUUUCAGCCUGAAACCAAUUUAUUCUAAGCGGGAGUGCUCCGAUAUAAAUAGAAAUACCACUACAAAACAAAACGUUGGUUUCUUUCCCCCUAACUUAUAUUCCCUAUAAAAAAAAUGUUCGUUGUUAAAAUAAAGUAUAAACAUGACAAAGAACUUCUGAAGGAUUUGCCUUCAACUGUAAUUAUAAUGUAUGGUGACGGUCAUACCCGCUGCAGGUUUGUGCACCUGUCCUGGUU
Molecule: long non-coding RNA, 476 nt
Filed under: Mytilus galloprovincialis (Mediterranean mussel)
Lineage: Eukaryota; Metazoa; Mollusca; Bivalvia; Mytilida; Mytilidae
Source: RNAcentral